GCCGGGGUGGCGGAACAGGCAGACGCAACGGACUUAAAAUCCGUCGAAUCGAGAGAUUCGUACCGGUUCGAUUCCGGUCCUCGGCACCA
This 89-nucleotide transfer RNA is filed under the name Streptococcus vestibularis. RNAcentral's name for it is "tRNA-Leu". It matches the Rfam family "tRNA". From Rfam's summary of the family: Transfer RNA (tRNA) molecules are approximately 80 nucleotides in length. Their secondary structure includes four short double-helical elements and three loops (D, anti-codon, and T loops). Lineage: Bacteria; Bacillati; Bacillota; Bacilli; Lactobacillales; Streptococcaceae. The record is from RNAcentral. RNAcentral also lists the same sequence under 5 other names.